CCCAUUUAAUACUCCAUUUAAGUGGAAUACAUGUGUCACCGUCCGGUUCUCCCCUGGUGAGUGGGAGACAAACUCUGCCAAGCUUUUAAUUCUCUUCCCUCGUGAUCCGUGCAGUAUCAGCAUAGCAGAGAACCCCUGGGAGUGGAAGUCAGGUGUCACGUUGGAGUUGGCCGACCGUUCGGACUGGAGGCGGUAUUUAAGGUAAGAAUGAAGACCUGAUGCCACUUUUGCAUGCAACCUUCUUCUUCUUCCUCAAACUCCAUCUUCUGAAAAUCUCAAAUUCUCCUCCUUCUCUCUAAAACCUCCCUACCUUCUCUCUAAAAAUUCUAACCCAUUCACUGUUCCGAUCACCCUUCAGAUCACACCUGAAGACUCCUGGUGGUCUCCCCUUUCACUUAAACCGUCCGGUUUUCAAGUUGGCAUCUGAUCUUGGGGAAACUUAGAAGAAUAGUUCAUACCAACUUAUUUUCAAGACUUAGCUGGAAUUAGAGGUAAGGGAAGCUUAUAAAAUUUAAUUAUGAUUUUCUGUAUGGUUUGAAUAUGUGCCUAAUUUAAUGCAUGUUUGAUAUCUAAAGUAUGUUGCUUGAUUUCUUAUGAUUUGAAAUAUGGUAUGUUGUUGUAUGAGUUGUAUGAUAAGUAUGAACUAUGGAUUCUGCAUUGAUACAAAUUUGUGUGAAACUUAGAGAAAAUAUGCAUUUGAGAUCGAAGGUCAUUAGGACCGUUCGGUCUUCCCUAUUCCGUUCGGUUUGUUCGGACGGAUCGGCCUAGUAUGUUUAUUAGACUUAGUUGGUCUCCUCUAAUUUCAUUAUUGAUAGUUACUUAAGAAUGCUGGUCAUAAACCAAGCGUUCGGCCUUACAAGUGUUCGGUCUUAGGCUAAUACUUAAAUGGUAACAUUUGCAACCCUAAUAUUCUUCCUUUUGAAACCGUUCGGUCACUUAAUUACUGAAUGGUCUAGUGAACCUUUAAUUAUUGAUGCAUUCGGUUUACUUGACUAAAGUCCUUUACUCCCUUAAAGAGUUCAUUCUUUCUCAAUUCGUUCGGCCUGAUAAGUGUUUGGUCUUAGACCAACCCUUUGUUUAUGUUAAUGCCUAUUUUAUGAUAUUCUUGCCAAACCGUUCGGAUGACUAUCCAUUAUCGUCAAUCUCUGAGUCAUGGUCUCAUUCUCAUUGCUAAAACUAUCUUAUCAACCAUUUAGCAUUCUUCUGUUAUUCAAUUAUACCUUUGAUAUGACCGUCCGGUCACUUACUUGAAUUCUUGAGACUCAGCUUCCCCUUUUGAUUUAAAACGUUCGGUCACUAAUGGUUAUGAUUCGGUAUUGGAUAUCUGGUAUUCUCUCAACGUCCUAACAGUUUGGAAGUAAUAACGAACCUUGAUUGAAUUUGACUAAGUAAGAGAAUUCCACUGGCGGAAUNACUCAUGANUUGGUAUUGAUUGGUAAAGUAUGAAUGUGGGAAUGACUCAGGUGUUGUCCUUGAUCCUGAUAUUCCGUGAGGACGCUUUCUCAAGUAGAGAGAGGUCCCUCAUGCGUGGGAAUGACAGGAGGUCCGCGGUUAUUUGAGUAGAUAACCGUUUGAGGGCUAACCUCGGGUGGCAGCUGAUCAGAGAGACAAUUACUACACCACACCGGGUGCUAGGGACGACCGAGCUACAUGUUCAUACCGUCCGGACAGUGUCUUAGAGGUCGGUCAUGAUUAAAGAAAUGUGGUAUGCAUGUAUAGGAAUUGUAUGUUGCAUGAUUGAUUGGUUUGUAUUGUACGUUUACUUGUAUGAUGAAUUGAUGAAUUAAAUUUACAUAAGCUUACCCUUAUCCUUUGUGUCUUUGCCUAUGUUGUCGUUCGGUAUCUGACCGUUCGGUUAUUCUCUUCAUUGCAAUGAUCAUCCUUUUUGGGUGUGAGCAGAGGAUAACUUAGAAGUUACCUUGGAAGCUGCUUUGGAGGACACGCUGGAAGACGCAGUGGAAGCCGUGCCUGAGAGUUAUGCAGGACCGUCCGGUCCUUAGUAUAGUUGUUCCUCUUGUUUUAUAUUUUCGUAGAUGUUAUGUAUAGGGAACUUUUGAUGAUUGACCGUUCGGUCAAUGAACUUAGUGUUAGACCGUUCGGUCUAACUUGUAAAUAUUAUACUUUAUUAAACUGCUGUACAGUUUUAAAUUGAAUGCUAUACUCCUAUCUCUUUCACCUCUCGGUUUAUUCACUACUGUUCUCCUUUAUUGUUCAUGUUAACUCCUGAAAAUGAAUUAUAGCUUUGGUUAUAUUUAUUGGGAUGUUACAGAAACAUUGUUUGGUUUAAUCUGAAUCAAAAUACCAUCAAUUCUUGUUCAAUUUAAUUUAAAUCAAUUCAAUUUUAAUUGAAGGCUGAUUAGUUUAUUUAAAUUUGUGGAUUACAAACAAAUUCAUAUUUACAUGUAUUAUUUGAAUUUUUUAGGAUGAGUAUGUACAUGUAUAUUAAUAUAUCUACUACUCAAUAAAAAUGAAAAUGUCACAAAUUUCAUACUCUAAGGACAAAAAUAGGUAUGAUUUUUACUUCAAGAACCGUCUAGCUUCAUUUCCAUUCCCAUUUUUGGCUAUGCCAUUGUUAACUUAAUUUUGGUCAACUUGUUAUGUGUUUGACCUCAAGAAAAACAUCAUUUUAUUAUUUUCAUCAAGUCAUUAUUAAGUCAGUUUUAACUAAGAAAUCAUUGAUUUAUCUUUAUAAAAAAAAAUUAAUAACUAAGAAAUCAUUGAUUUAUCUUUAUAAAAAAAAAUUAAUUCACCCUUGAUUAAAACAUUUUUAACUAUACAUGAGUGAAGUUGAUCUUAUUUGAACUCAAUUAAUUUAUUGUUGACUUAACCUUGAUCUAUGCAUCAUUAGUUUCAGCUUAAUUAGGAUUUUGUCAUUUCAAUAUCAAUUGUUUAUUUUCUUUCCCUUAAUCUCACUUAAGAAAUAUUCACUUCAACCUCACUCAAAGAAUCUAACUUUGUCUUGUGUAGGUCAUCUUAAAUUAGAAUUAACCUAAACAUCUUUUGAUAAUUAUAAAGUGUCUGAUAGGAAAGAAAAACUAAUAUUGUAUUAUGAUAAAAGUAACUUAUAGAGAAUGACAAACCUAGUCUAUAUAGAAACUAUAGAAAAUCCAUGCAAGGUCAAACAAACGUACAACGAACACAACAACAUAAUGGAAACAAUAAUAAUACUUUGACACAUUUUUGAAUUUUAACAUUCAUUUGACACGGUGUGAGACCCAUUUUUGCUGAAUUUUCAGACCAUCAUAGUUCAUAAUUUUAAAAUUUAAUGACAAUUAGCGUGUCAGAUGAGUAUUUUUGCCACUUUGGCAUGUCAAGGUACUGCUACUCUAAUACAAAGCAUUAAUAUGGUUAUCAUGCACUAGUGAACUUAAGGUGGGUGAUGUAAAGUAACUAGCUUAAGUUUAGUACAAUAGCAGAUGUAAGGAGCUCCUUAAAUAGGCUUAGUAAAAAUGUCAGCUACUUGAAACAUGAGAGGAAUUUGCUUGACAAGGAAUUGAUAUUUUUGUACUUGAUCAUGAACAUAAUGUAUUCAAAAUGUUCGUGAAUGAAGGACAAGAUUUGAGUAAGAAGCAUUGCACUUUGGUUGUCUAAAUAAACCAUAGUUGUGUGAUGAGAAAGUCAUAAUUCAUGCAAAAGAGAAAGAACCCCUUUGAUAUCUGUGACAACAAACGCAAGGCUUCGAUAUUCUGCCUUAGUGGAGCUCCACGACAACACCUUUUGCUUUUUAGAUGACCAUGAAAUAAGGUUUGAGCCUAGAUAAUGCAAUAGCAAGAAGUUGACUUCCAAUCAUCAACAUCUAAUCCCUAAUCAACAUCAAAUAAGCCUUUGAUGGUAAGAUGAGAGCAUAGAUUAAUGAGAAGACCAUGAGUAUUGGUUCCAACUACUUAUCACAUAAACCUUUUAACUACUUUCUAAUGGUGUUGUUGCGUGAACUGGCGUACUUUGUUCACGACAAAAGGUUUUGGUCUUGUAAAGGUUUGGUACUAGAGAGCUCCCACUACUUGGCGAUAGAGAGAAUAAUCAUCGAAGGAAAACAUUUCAUCAGCAAAAAGUUUGAGCGAUGUUAUCAUUAAAGAAGGUUAAGGAUUGACGUUAAGCAUUUUGACUUUGGUAAGAAGAUCAUGAAUUUAAUGAGUUUGAAUUAGAUGAAAAGAGCCAAUGGUUGUCCAAUUAACUUCAAUCCCAAGGAAAUAAUGAAGUCUACCAAGAUCUUUAUGAGUAAAGGUUUUAUUCAAUGUUGAAUUAAGACGAUUGAUAUCAAACUUUGAUUUUACUGUAAUAAGUAUAUCAUCGACAUAUAUGAGUAUAUAAAUGACAGAGUUCACCGUAGUUUUAAUGAAAAGAUAAGGAUCACUUAUUGUGGGAGUGAAACCAAGACAAGCCAAAGUUGUGCUGAUUUUUUUAUACUAGUCACGAGGUGCCUGUUUGAGUCCGUAGAUGACUUUGUUAAGUUGACACAUCUGAGUGAAAUUAGAUAAGAAAUCAAGUGGUUGUUCCAUGAAAAUAGUUUCAUGAAGGUCUCCAUGUAAGAACAUGUUAUUGAUGUUAAGUUGAUGAAUGCAGUAACGUGAAGACAUGACAAGGGGAUAGGAUGAUGUAGAUCAUGGUGGGUUUGAUGACAGGGAUGAAAUUGGUGGAGUAUUCAAGACCUUCGAUCUGUGUACAAUCGCAUGCAUCCAAAGAUUUUGAGUUGUAUGGAUGAAGUAGAGGAAAAUACGUGCACCCAAAGAUUUUGAAAACAUAAUCUAUUGGUUUGUUAAACAAAACUUGAUUAGGUGUUUGAUUAUUUAAAAUAGGUAGGCAAGUUAUUAAUAAUGAAAGUUUUUGCAAGAAAGGAAUGUCCCUAGUAGUUUAAAGGGAGCGAAGAAUGGACGUUAUAAAUGCACCGUAUUCAUUUGGAAGGUCGGAUAAAAUGGCUUCAAUGUGUUCUUCAUUUAUGACAUGAGAUCCAAUGAUAAGAAGGGAGUCUACAGUGUGUUUGAUGUCCAAAGCCACAUUGUAAUGGACUUAUUUUUCUUGUUGGUCUUGAGUUGUGUUUCUUUAUUUUGGCUCUAGAAUGGCUUGCAAAAUAAAUUAUGAGUUUGGUCUAUAUUUCAGCAAUGAGAGCCAACCAUCUUGGUGAGCAUCAUGUUGGUCAUAGAUGUAAAGAGCCAAACAACUAUUAAUUGAUCUUAGUGUUGAUAUUGAGAAUACAAUGGAUUUAAAGGUGGAUGAAAGAUAUCAAGAUGGAACAACAUAUGCAUCAUGAAAGUGAAAAAGAUCAAGAUUGUAGAGGGUGGCAAGCACUUGGUGUUGCCAAACAAGGAAAUUCUCUUCAUCUUAUUUGGUAGUGAUAAGUAUGGGAAAAGCGCGAGGAGUGAAGGAUGCAGUGGAGGAAGAAAAGUUUUGUGUGGUAGAGUUGGGCUGAGAACUUGUAGAGGUCAUGCUGUCUAAGCUCAUGAUACCAUGACAAAGAAGUGGACUUUAAGCCUAACUCAAUCAUACAAAACUAGCUUGUAAGAUGAGGUUUGCACCUACUUAUAUAUUUUAAAUUGGUCUUACCUCUAGAUGAUGUAGGACUUCCAACAAACUCUCUCACGCUGAGGUAUAUACAGUUUAAGUGUGAGACUAAACGUUAAAUGGAUGGUUCGAUAAUGAAAUGAUAACGAGUGAAAAAUAUGUCCAACAAAAAACAAAUCUCACUAUGAUAGACUAUAAUAAUGACUAUAAUACCAUGACAAGAAAAAGAAAUUAAUGUUGUAUUAUGAUAAAAGUGACUUAUAUAGACAAACAAACAUAACCUAUAUAUAAGUUAUAGAAAAGCCAUGCAAGAUCAAGCUACAACAAAAGUAACAACACUACAUAAAGCAUUAAUAUGGUUAUAAGAGAGAGAUAAUUGUCUAUAUUUCUCUCAAUCUUAAAGUCAUUACUUUAACUACAUAUCCCAUCGUUUGAAUAUUCACAUUAUCGCAACAUUCACAUUAUCGUUCAAGUAAUAAUGAUCUAUGCUUGUAACCUUUAUAAAUCACUUAAUCAUUACUUCAACAACGAAAUACCACUUAAAUGAAAUCAAGCUCAAAAAUAGUCAUUGCCAAAAAAAGCUAAGAUGAAAACAAUGAAAACCAUGCUUACAUACUUCCCAAUUCCUAAAAUACCUCUUUUCCAUUGCUUUCAAACUCCAAAUUAUUCUUUUAUAACAUAAACACCUCACCUUAUACCAAUUCAUUCUAAAAAUUAUGCAUACACAUCUUUCAAUACACUUUUAAAUAUGAUAAUCUAGAUCCAUUUAUUGUAUACAUUAAAUAGACAUACAUAUUAACUCCUUGACACUCUAUAAUAUACCAAAAUAUAGGCAAUUCAUCAAUUAUCUAUCAUACAUCAAUAAUAUCUUUUCAUAACCAAUUACCAAAAAAAAAAAAAAAAAAAUCCUCUCUUAAUAAUAAUAAUAAUAUAAUCUAUUACUAAAUUUCUAUUAUAAUCACUUCACUAAACUCCUCCUCUUACUUCCUACUUAGCUUUAAAAUAUGAUAAAAGCCAAAAUCUUCUCAAGAUUUAAUGAGAAUUUAAAUAAAAGAAUUUCACUAAGAUGAAAUUUUAAAUAAAACAAAACAUAAACAUCUAAUUUUUAUUUAUAAUUUUUAAAAAUAUUUACAUAUUAAAAAUUUAUAUCAAAAUAGCUAUAAUCUUAUUUAAUAUAUAUUUAAUUGGAUUUGAACUGUAUUAAAAUUUCAUAUUCAAAAUUUUAAGUAGACUAAAGGUCAAUUAUUGUGAUCAUAUAACAAAUAAGAUAGUACAUUUUAUUUUAAUUUUGGUUUAAACUCUUUUUUGGUCCCUAAGUUAAGCUCUGAUAUUUAGUUUAGUCGUCGCUUUUAAAAAUGUCAACCUUUAGUCCUUAUCAUAUGAAAAAUGUAUCAAAUCAGUCCUCAUGACAACACUUAAUGAACAAUAAAUCACAAGUUUUCAUACCUAGAUAUCCAAUAUUUUAUGAUUUGUUAACAUAAGGUGUUAUGAACAACAAAUCACUUAAUGAAAAACUUGUGAUUUGUUAAGGAAUUGAAAAACUUGUGAUUUGUUAACGAAUAAGACUGAUUUGAUACAUUUUUCAUAUCAUAAGGACUAAAGGUCGACAUUUUUAAAACCGGGACUAAACCGAACAUCAGAACUUAACUUAGGGACUAAAAAAAGAUUUAAACCUUUAACUUUUAGGGAAUUAGUGAAAAAAAAAGGAAAAUUAUCUCACUUUUUUUAUUUAUUAAUAUAAAAUUAUCUAAAUUAAACCUGACUAAAAUAUGUUUAGUUUGACUUAAAUAAACUAUAUUUAAUCUAACUUAUAUUUAGAAAUUUUACUUUUUUUUAACCAAACUUAACAUGAACCGGUGAUAAAUCAUAUUAUUUAUGAAUUUCAAUCUAUUUUAACAUUUCUAUAUUUAUAUUUAUAGUAAUCAUCAAUAUUAUUAUUUUCACGUUAUUACAACCAUUACAUAAUUAAUAAUUACUGUUAUUAUAUUAUUUUAUUAUUAUUAUAACUAUAUUUUUCUGUUAUUAUUUAUUAUCUUAUUAUUAUAUUAUUAUUUUAUUAUUAUUAUUAUUAUAUUAUUAUUAUUAUAUAUUAAUAUUAUUAUUAUUAUUACAAUAAUUCUUAUUAACAUCACCAUUUACAACUACAACUACAAAUAUGAUUUUCGUAAUCAUUAUCAUAUUAUAAUUAUUUUCAAUAGCAUUUAUUUAUUAUGUAUAUUUUAUAUAUAUAUAAUUUUGUGCUAACAAAACACAAAAUAAAAGACUCAUUAAUAUAUAUUUUUAUUCUUUGGUCAUAUCUUUUAUCAUCUAUCUUGGUUAAAUUCUAAUUACCAAAAAUGACCCUUUAAAGUUAUUUUGUUAUCCUAUACAUGUUCUUUAUUAUUUUUGUCUCGUUAAGAAUGAAAGAUGAAUGAUUGAUUUUUUUCAAAUGAUAAUUAAUGGUUGAAACUAAUUUAUGUACCUUUUUCCUCUGCUUGGAUGCAUCUUACCAUAACUUUUUGUAGUAUUUUAUGACAAUAAGUUGAAGAGGAGUGUGCAAAAGUAAAGUGCAAAAGCACUGUUACGUUGUUAAUUAAUUAAUAAUGAGAAAUCAUCAUUCUAUCAAAUAUAUGAAAUAACAACUAUUAAAAAAAAUACCUUUUUAGAAACGUGGAUCUCUUCAAUCAUCAUUAUUGCUCUUACCAAACCCGAAAAUCCAAAGGAAGAUUUCACAAAAUCUUAUGUAAAUAAACUGGGAUGAGAAAACAAUAUGCUAUCAGGAGUAUUAGUGGAUAAAAUUUAUGAUGAAUAAUUAUUAUUUGUAAAUAUUUAUUAUCUAUAUAGAUAAUCAGUAGUGAUAUUUUAAUAUAUGUUUCUAAACAUCGGUCUAUAAAUAUUUGUUAUUCGAAAAAUUAAAAAAGAAUAGUUUAUAUUUUUAAUUAAAUUUCUAAAAAUAAAAUAAAAUUAUAUUUUAUUAGAUUAAAUUUAAUUAAAAUUAAAUUUUAAUUUAUAUUUAAUUAAAUUUUAUAUUACAUUUUAUUUAUAUAUAUAUAUAUAUAUUAUAAUUUUAUUUAAAUUUUAUUUUAAAAAUAUAUAAAAUAUUUUUUUUUACGAGUUUUAAAAUAUUCGUAGAUAUUUUUUACCAAAAAUAUUGAUACGGACACAAAUUUAUCUGAUAAGUCGGAAUACGGAUAAGAAUUAUUAUUGGCUAACCUGAUCUGAUCUGACCCGAUCCGUUAUCUGUAGAUAAACAUUCUUACUUUCCUCCUUUCUUUUCGGUAUUUAACUUGCAAAAGCAAUUGAUAAGAUGUUUACAAAAUGAGUUUAAGAUUCAGUGAACAAUAUUUCAUGCUGGAUAGUUCCAUUCGAUCUAAAAAAUGUUCUCACAAGCUCUCUACCCUCACUUUUUUAUUUUCUAUAUGGAUUUCAGUAAAUUUAAUUACUAAUAUUAUUAAAAUUUAUUGCAAAAUUAAGUAUCUCUUACAUGUGAAAAUUCUUAGUUAAAAUAUUCAAAAGAAUUUAUAUACAGUGUCGUCUAUGCUUUCGUCAUUAAUUUGAUUAUUUUAUGAUAAUCAUUAUUUAUGUUCAUCACUUUUUUAUGUUUCCAUGACUAACAUUUAGGCUCUGUUCCUUUGUAAUGAUUUGAGGGAGAUGAUUUGGGGGAGAUGAUUUAAAUGGAUUUGAGUAGAUUUGAGGGUAAUUUUUUUUGUUGUUUUUUUGAGUGGAUUUGUGGGUAAUUAAGAGUGGAUUUGGAAGUAAAGUUUAUGAAAAUUAGUGUAGGAUUUUAUUGAUGUGACAAAUUUUAAAAAUUUGUUUAAUUGAUAGAAAUUGAAGAUUACCAAAAUACCCCUAGUUAUUAAAGUAAUAUAAAAUGAUAAUUGUUAAAAUAUUAUAUUUAAUUGUAAAAAUGUUUAUAAAGAAUAAAAAAUUAAAAAAAUAUAUUAAAAUUAAUUUUUAAAAGGUAAAAAAAAAUUAAUAAAUUAAAAUAAUGAUUUUCAAUAAUUAAAAUAAUUAUUUUUAUAAGACAGUGUAUUAAAGUUAAAUUUUAAUUUUGAACAUUGUAUUUUUUACAUCAUAUUUUAAUUCUUAUAAUAAUUAAAAUACUAAUAAUGUAAUAAUAUUACUACUCUAUUUACCGUAAGUGCAUUACAUAAUUUGCUGUCAAAUUAAUAACAAUGCAGGUCCAUGUGUUGAUGAGGAAUGAGUUACACGCCUCUACAACAUGCAAUUGAAAUUUUCCAUUUGAAUCUCAAAAGUCUAUCUUCAAUCUCACAGCUUUCAGCAAUGCAGUGACGAAAGUGAAGGAGAGUGAAGUGAAGGAGAUGGAUUUGGGGCAGAAGAGGAGAAAGUGUGGUUUUGGGAGCAAGAGGUUGAAGAAGGGUAAAUCAGAGAUUACACCCUAAAUCCCUGCAAAUCUCUUCAUUCUUGCGGGUGAUGAAAAAGUGAUACAUCCCGCAAAUCACAGCAAAUCGUUCCUUGCAAUUCCUCUGAAGCGAACAUAACAAUUAUCGCAUUUCUUCGCUCACAAAUACACGUGAACAGUGAAAUCAACCGAAACGAACACAACAUUAGUCAUGUUAAACAUGUGCAUCAUGCAUCCCUUAUUCACUACUGAAUCUCUUUUGUUUAAUUAACCCCAAUGAAGAAGAAUAAAUCAAAUUAAUUUCAUUGUAUCCAAAUUUAAUUUUUAAAUUCAAGUAUCCAAUCAUUAGAGUUGAAUAAUAUGUUCAUAAAAAUUAAGAGUGAUAAUUAAAAUUGUUUAGUUAUUAUUGUUAAGAGACGAAUUAAACUAACACCCAAUAUUUGUUAAAAAUGGUUUAAAAACAUAAAAGGUUUUUAGAUGAAUACUCAAUCUUCUCUCCCAUAAACCACAAUAAUUUCAUACAUUCUUAUUCAUAUCUCCCCAUAAGUAGAGAACAACUAACAAAAUUCUAGUAUGAAUAUUAAUCUCCAUAUUAAUUUUUCUAGCAUUUAAAGUGCAUGAGACGACAGCUACACUAAAUUACAUAAAUUUAUUGAAUUAAAAAGGUUCAAAAAUAUUUUUGAAAUAUGAAAUCUUCCUUAAAAACCCUGUUAAUACGUCUAAAAAUUAACCAAAGACUAUAAAAAUAAUUUCAAUUUAAAUAUUAUUAUGUAUUACCAACGAAUUAUUUUUAAAUAGAAAAAUUUAAUCACAAAAGUUUAAUUAAUUUUUAUUAAUUUAUAUUCAUAAAUACUAUUAUUUAUCAUUAUUAAUUGUAAAUAAAAAGGUAUAGAAAAUAACAAAUAUUAUCAUGCUUGUUAAGCAAAGGUAUAGUUGAUAACAACGCAAUUUUGGAAGUCACUAUAGAUCGUCUUCAAAUUUAAAACUUUUUGUAACAUCAUCGGAAAUCUCCAAUAAUAUAAAUUAUUUAAUAAAUUCAAAGGUUAGUUAGUACUUAAAAAAACCAAAUAUAAAAUUAAUAUGCAAAUCAAUACAUAAAUUCUUAAAAAAAAUUUUCUAAAACAAAUACAAUUUAUAUGAAAUCCAAGAUAACAUUUUCUCUCUCUCAAGCGUCUUUAAUACUUGAAAUAUCUACAUCUGUCUUAUAUAAUACAAAUGUUAUAUGAUCAUCGUCACACACACAAACAAGUAUGAAUAGGCUAACAAAAUAAACAUCAAAACCAAUACAUCAUUUAUAUCUCAAUCGUCAAGUCCUUUUCAUGAUCCCAUUACACCAAAUAGCUUCAAUACACAAUCAAACUAUAACAAACAAUACAAUAACCACCCAUACAUUCCUUUAAAAGGAAUCGUGAUCAAUCCAUUAGCUUUACACAACCUGUCCAUUCAAGGCAACUCGUGCCUGUACUAGCUAUCUCUAUAAACGUAUAUCAACUUUCAUACUUCAUCGCACCAUUCCUACUUACCAAAACAUGACAAUUUAAGUGGUCCUCCAUCGUAGCUUCAGACCUAUCCUCUUGCUCCUCAAGGCUUAUGGAUAAAAACUCUAAGUUGCACACAUUAGUACUAAUCUCAACACGAGUUGGAAUCUACAAGCGAGACAUUCAUCACUUUCUAUCCCAUUGCAAGAGGAAAGGACAACACUCGAAUCUUAGUCUCUUCUAUCGCCCAUCAUGGAUGAAGAGACUCAUAUCUUCUACCGCCUCUUAAAGACAAAGAUAUCCACUUGUCUACUCCUCCCAAGAGGAAAUAUGACUACCUUUCUAUCUCUUCGAAAGAGGAAAGACACAACCCCAGAUUAACAAAGUAUGGAAAGAAGACAUAACUAAUGAAAUAACCACCAUUACCAUACCUCAUGGUUAGUACAACAAUGUGACAUUCACCCUAAUAAUAGAUAUUUAUCACAGAAAUCCAUUUCACCUACAUCUCAUCCCUUGAAUUUCAAUCCAAAAAAUCACUUAUCACAUUUGUUCUGUCAUAUCCUAACCAUUUGGAAAUCUCACUAACAACAACCACCCAACAAUAAACAAUAACCCCUAGAGACCUUAAUCGGUCCAAACAAUAAUGAAUAUCUUCAUCACCACCAACUAUAAUAAAACAACUGCUACAACUUAGCUUGGAUAGCCCAUACUAUCAUACUAACACACAUAGAACAAUCCAACGAUUUGAUCCUCAAUCAAGAGAUAUUAGCAUCAACCAAGUACUAAACAUAACAAACAAGAACGCAAAAGCUAUAAUUAGUUCAAACAGCCACCACCAAUGUCAAAUUUCACAACAUGAAACCAUCUUCAUCACUAACAAUGAUAUCCAAGUGGACAAGCAAUGUAAUGUUCACACACAUCCAAAAUCCCACAUUUAAAAGGUCACAAUGUGAAUACCCAAUAAUGGACAUGUUCAAAUCACAUAGAGUCAAUAACAACAUUUCAAAGACAACAUUUUCAAAAUUAGUUUUACCAUACCAUAACACAUCAUCCUUCUGACUCUUAUACUCGUUUCAAGUUAAACACACUAUGAACAAAAAAGAACAUACCGGACAAUAAAUAACUACUCAUGAAUCCAAUAAAAUAAUAAAUUGAUUGAAUUCAUUCAAUAAAUUAUAAGUCAUUUAACAUUCCAUUAUUUUACAAUUUCAAAUAUUCAAGGAAAGUAUUACAAGUCCCCGACAAUCAACCCAUUCCCAUGCAUUUAGACAAAUAAUAAAUAAAAAUCAUUUCAUUUAUACAAUCACAAUUCAAAGAGAAUUAACUCCCCAUACCUAACUCAGUUACCAUUUACUAAGACGAUUUCUUCACGUCUUACAUUAUACCUAAACUUUUUGACUACAUUUUACUUUCCUUGUACUCUCCCAAUUGUUUGGAUUUUCUAGCCGUUAUAUGUUUUUUCAUUUCUCUCUUCCAUGCUAAUUGACAAAAGCCUAAAAAUCUCCAAGCUACCCUUAAAUCACUCUGCCUUUGCUCCUUUUCCUUUAAAACCCUCAUCCUUUCCUCUAAGGUUUCAUAUCACUAAAAAUAAUUCAUGUGUUAAGAUUUUUUUUAUAAGAUGGUAAAUUUAAUUUAUUAUAAUAGAUUUACUCUUAAAUAAUAUAUCUUCUAAUUUGGAUUCAGGUAAAAUAUAUAAUUUAUUUUUAUAAAAAAAUAUUAAGCAUGAAAAAGGUUAAAAUAACUUUUCAAGAUUAUCUAAGGAAUAAAUUUUUAAUGGUGUCUUUAACUUUUUUUUCUCUUUUACAGUAUAGAUCAUCUUAGUACUAAAAAAAUGAAAGUAGCAAGAUAGACUUGUGAAUAAACAGCUUCUGAUUAUUUAAUUUUUUUUAAUCAAACACAUAAAAAAAACUACAUUUUCAAUAAAAAAAAAUUAAAUUUUAUUUUUAACAUAAAAUUUAUACUAUGCACUAAAUUUUGUUAGCCAUAUUACAUUUUCUUCGUCAAAUAGGUAAGAGAAAGAACUAACAUUAUCUUUUUCGCUAAAGCCUCUCAAAUACAAAAUUAUCGGUAAUCUUAUGCAAUGUUUUAAUUUAAAAAUAAUUACAAUUAUUAUAAAAUACUUUUUUAUACAUGAAAAAAGAGAGUAAUAAUUUAUAUUUAUUUAAUCGACUGACCAUAAUUAUUUUUAAUUGAUGCCAUCUCUAUAUUUUUAUGAAUAUUUAUAAAAGUAUCAAACCUUUAAUUUGUUUUUGGAAGAUAAAAUAUGAUAUUUUAUGGAAAAGAAUAAACUAAAUUAAGAAGGUUUAUUGAGGAAUCUAAAUCAAGAGAGUGACAUGUAGUUGUGAUGCAUUAGAAACCUGAGCAACAGAUAUGGUUGAUAGUCAUGCAUCUAUAUCAUUACAAUGAUCAUGCUGUUACUGUUGUUCCAAUUCCAACCAAAUUAUUCUCUCAACUCCUACAAGUGGACCCCAAAUAAAGCACAUACAAUUAACAUUUUCAUUCUUUCACUCUCAUCACUUUAGGCCUACCUCUUCACAACUUUUAUUCAUUCUUUCAAUUUUUCCUUUGUAUAUUGCCAUAAUUGUGUCAGCAACAAUAACAUACAAACCCAACCCAAGUGUAAAUUAAAGAAUGUUAAGAAGUGGAACAUAAGUGUAACUCAAAAUUGAUUUAUAAAAUAAUUUUGUAUUAUAAAUAGACUUUGUCAAGACUUUCAACAAAUAAUCAAAUUUUUAUUUUAUCUUAAACUGAUCAAACCCAAAGGACAUGGUAAGCAUGAUGAAGUGUCCAAAGCAACAUCAUCUUUGAAAAUAUUGUUGAAAUCUUUAUGCUUUCCUACACCCUAAUCCACCCUACAAAAUCUCUUGAUUUUUUUAGAUUUAUGUCUUCAUCUCCUCUUGAGUAAGUUAAGCACUUUUCUUUAACUGCAAUUAACUCACAAAAACACCUGUUCUGAAAUAUGAUAUAUUAAUAUUUUUUAAUAACUUUUUAAUAAUAAAUUAUAUAUUAUUAUUUUAUUAUUCUGGACUAAUCACGAAUUAUCAUAUAAAAGAUAUAAAAAAUUGUAAAAAAAUUGUUAAAUACACUGUUACAUAUACGAAGCAUUCCACUGUGCCACAAGGAGUGUCCCAAAUUCCCAACACAAUUUAAAAGCAAAAUUGACCCUUGUCCCUUUCCUCUGUGUUCUGUAUCAGUUUUUUUCAACAAAUAAAAAACAAGAUUGGUAAGAAAACUUUGAAAAAAUUGCAUGAGUAAUGGUAGAACAAAACUUUGAAAAACAAAUUUUACUUAAAAUUAAUAACUUAAAAAAAAAUUCCAAGGGAAGAAGCUUGUUCACAAAGCAUCAUUCUUUUCUUUCCCUGUAACCUUGGAUGGUUUUGUUUUUUCUACGUACAAAAGCAAAGAAGCAAAGCAUCUUCGUUUCUCGUACACAUCCACAUUGUUAUGUUUUCCCUUGCAAGUUUCAACCUUUUCUUUCCUUAAGAGUCUACCUCUCACCUUUUUACGCCCUUUAUAAGUCCAUUAAUGCACUAUUAGAACUGUCGGUGUAUCUUCUUUUGAAAAAAAUCACUUAAGUUUGGAAUCUCUACGUAAUCCAACCGAUUAAUGUGGUCAAAAUGGGUCAAGAAUUCCAACUUUUUGUUCUUAAUUGCCCAAAAUUUCUGCAGCUGUGCAUAUAUUGAUAAGCAUGCGAAACGCAUGAAUACUUUCCAUUGAAGUUCUCUUGUGUUUGUUUUGGUUGCAUGAAAUGGUUCUCUUUUAUUCUGGUGGUUCAUUUGUUCAUGAGUUGUAGUUCAGAGCCCUGUGUGGGCUCUGAUUUCAUUACACCCAUUUCAAAGUUUUUACCUUUUCUUGCUGGGUGUUUUUGUUUCUGAGAAAUCAAUAACAGGAAACAGUUAAAUUUUCUUAGUUCAAUCUGUUCAUUCAUUCUUUAACCGUGUUUUUUUUCUUCCCGACAAGACCACCCAACUUAAGAUUGUUAGUGUGAGAAACUUCAGAAGAAGGUAAAGUGAGUCCAUCAUGGGCUUUCUAACAGACUCUCACAAGGACUCAUGGCAGCCCAUUAUGACUACAAAGACAAACACACACAGUUACUGGCUUAAUUGGAGAGUUCUUCUUUGUUCAAUAUGGAUUCUGGUUUCAGUGAUCUUGUCAUCGUUGCUUUUAUGGAAGUAUGAGCGUUUGAGAAAACCAGAAACCAACGGAAGCAGGGAAACAGAAAAAGAAACAUCGGCAACUCUGUACGAGGAUGAAACUUGGAAGCCUUGCCUAAAAGGAAUUCACCCUGCAUGGCUCAUGGCUUUCAGAGUGGUGGCAUUUUUUGCGCUUUUGGUGCUUCUCAUAAUCAAUUCCAUUGUUGAUGGAGGAAGCAUUUUCUACUACUAUACUCAGUAAGUUUUCUUCCCUACUUGAAUUUAUCUCCCUUAAAAUUUGCCUGCUAUUGAAAGGGACAUUGUGAAUAGGAGCAUUGUUCUAUGUUGGAGGUAACAUAAACACAAACAUUUGAAGUAUACUAUGUUUUAAACAGAGUUAAUCUCGAACUACAGUCAAGCUGUAAUUUUGCUAAAGGAGUUGUUUGUAUGAUUGAUAUUAUUCUUUGUCUGCUCUUGGAAUUAGUCCUUUAUAAUUUGAGCACCAAUCACUUGUAAAAUUAGUUAGUUAUGAGUCUGAAUAAAGAAUCCUAAGUAACUGAUUACCUGUUUCAUGAUGUCUAUGUAAGCAAAUAGAUGGAAACCACUUUAACUGUAUUGAUAAGGCAUAUUGUGAGAUUGUUUUUGAAGUUUGAUUUGAGUUAAUUUUUUAAUGGUUUGUGAAACAGGUGGACUUUCACUUCAAUCACCAUAUAUUUUGGGGUGAGAACAAGUACCACAUAUCUUACUUUUCUGUUGUGAUGUUACUCUUAUAUGAUUUAGAAUGCAAUACCUUACUUACACUUUUCCUUGUGUGCUUGAUGCUGCAGCUUGGAUCUUUGCUCUCCAUACAUGGAUGCUACCAAUAUCAUAAGAAAGCAACUGGGGAUAAGGUUGAUAAUGUGGAAGCAGAUGCAGAGCAAGGAAUAUAUGAUUCUUCUGCACUACCACAAAGCUCUAAUAAUCUAUCAGACCAAGAGAAAAACUUAAGAGCCUCAGAAGUUGUUAUUCGCCAACAUGCAGGGAUUUGGGGUUAUAUUUUUCAAAUAAUAUUCCAGGUAUACUUUUCAAAUGAAUUUAAGUUCCAUAUUGAAUAAAAACGACAAAGUUGGGAGAUUUCUUCUUCAAAGUACCCAUCAAAAUUGUUAUUAUUAUGAUGAGUUUAGUUCAUAGUACAACAUUGCACUCUGAUUUUACUCAAAAUUGAUUAAGGAGAUCAACAUUCUGAUUAUCCUGCACAGAGUUACAUUUUGUUCCAUGUUUCUUCUUUCAGUCUUUUACUUACAAAAGUGGAAGGGAAAAUAGCUGUUCCAUUUACCACAUAAUUGAUUUUGUCUCUUCACUUGUGAACAGAUUAAUGCUGGUGCAGUCAUGCUCACUGAUUGUGUAUUUUGGUUCAUAAUUGUUCCAUUUCUAACCAUCAAAGAUUACAACCUAAAUUUUGUAAGUAUCAUUUAUAACCUCAUUGACUAACAAUAAUACCUCUUUAUAAUUUCUAUCAUAUAAUUAAGCUAGAUAGCUCUUAACCAUGUGAUAUAACUUUUCUGUGACAGUUGAUAGUGAUUAUGCACUCAAUCAAUGCAGUUUUCCUUAUAGGUGACACAGCUUUAAAUUGUCUGGUGAGUUCCUGCAUUUGAUUCCAUUUAUGAGUCCAUUUCCUAUCCUAAUGCAUCAGAAAAUUCUUACCCUUUACAUUCUUUUUCCUUCUUCAGAGAUUCCCUUGGUUUCGAAUAGGAUACUUUUGCCAGUGGACAAUCAUAUAUGUGAUUUUUCAGUGGAUGGUUCAUGCUUGCAUUUAUAUAUGGUAUGAAGUCUUCAACUAUGUUGUCAUACAUAAUUCAUUCUACUAUGAAAACAUCUUUUACAUCACUGUCUAACAUAAUUUUCUUCUCUGGAAAAAACAGGUGGCCUUAUCCUUUUCUUGAUUUGUCAUCCUCUUAUGCUCCACUAUGGUACUAAUUUAUUUUCAUGUGAAAUUGUUUCAAUUUUAAAUACCAAAAAGGAAAACUAAUAGCUAGUUUUUGAAUUGUUUUUCUUUUUUGGAAAUAAUCCAAAUAUGGGUCUACAAUUUUACAUUGGAUAAAAAUGACAAAUUUAAACAUAUAUAAGAAAAAAAGUCUCACAAAUCUAAUGCUUUGAAGUUGAGUUAAAAAUGAUGUUAAUUAUUUUGUGGAUUAAACUCAAGUUAUAUAUAUAUAUAUAUAUAUAUAUAUAUAUAUAUAUAUAUAUAUAUAUAUAUAUAUAUUCUCUCUUAUAUGAAAUUAUCCCAUCACUUUUGUCUUGUUUUCUUAUCAAAAUUAGAAUUUCAGAGCUUGGGUUAACUUUUAAUAUAAAUGGUAAUUAAAGAAUGCUAUAUUAUGUUUUUACUCGAAUCCUUGAUCUAGCACAUUUAAGAUAUUGCCUUAUUAAUAAGUUGUAAUUGCUAUGCAGGUACUUUGCAGUGACAUUACUGCACAUUCCAUGCUAUGGAAUUUUCGCCUUGUUAAUGAAGCUGAAACACCAUGUUUUGUCAACUCGGUUCUCUGACUCUUAUCAAUGUCAAAUAAAUUCAGCCUAGUUCUUACUCACCCUACAAAAAAGAUAAAGAAGUGUUAGAUAAAAUUCUUAUUAUUUAACAAUAAGAUUUCACACAUAUAAACAAAAUAUACUUUCUUUGUUUGACCAAAACAGUAAUUAGAAUUUUGUUCUUACUCUAACUCUUGUCAAGUAGAGAGCCGUGUAACUAAUUAUGAAUUCAUAAGCACUAAAUCAAGGAUUAUUUAUUAGUGUUAAUAUAUAAGUAUUAUAAUCCAUUCUCCUUGUGUGUAAUAGAUGGGUUCUAAGUCUUUUUAUCAUACAUUUAUUUUUUCUUUUAUUCUUAUAUUUCAUUAUUUUAUUUUUUUUAUUAUAUGGUUCUUUAACUACCAGAUCUCUUGUUUCUUAUUUUUAUACAAUUUAAACACAAUUUAAUUUUUUUCACUUUCUACGUUGUGUCAAAGGGUUAGAUAUUGUGCUAUUGGGAGUAUAAACUUUGUAGUUAAACUUGUAAUGUUAUCACUGUUUUAUGAUUGGUGAUUGUGUGAACAUGUUGGUCACAUUCAAGUCAUCUAUAAACAGGAGCAUUUUCUCUCCUUUAAAAGUAAAUUUUCAAUUAACCUUCAUUUUAUAUUUUGGAUUUUCUUCUAUCUUCUUACCAAUAUAGAUCAUCGAUAUAUCAUGCUAAAGGUUCUCGUUGUGCCCUAAGGACUUGCACAAUAUGUAGUAAUAUGUAGUAAAAAUGCUGACAAAAUUUCGAACCGCAAUUUUCUGAGAUGCAUAAAUUCACUAUCCUUAAGGACUUAUCUAUGGUGUGUUGCGUAAGUCUCCCAAGAUACAACAGGAACUUCUCGAAAAUAUUCGAGGAUCACAUAACUAGCAAGAAACUCUGAUAGAGUUUAUACCCAGGAUAAUUUUGGAAGAGGUAGAGAGAAUGAAAGGAGAAUGAGAAAGACUGAACUUGGUGUUUUGGAAUGGGGGAAAAGCUCUCUAUUUAUAGAGCUAAGAAAGAAUAAAAGAAAUUAAACAAAUCAAUGAUUUUAACGUUGCAAAAUUAAUUGACAUUGAAAAUUUUGAAUGUUAGAAUAUUAUAGUAGAACAACGUUUCUUUUGCAAUAAUAUAACAUUAUUACAAAAAUCCUCCACUUAUUGUAAAAGAAAGUUGAGAGAAAAGAAAAGAAACUUUUAUCCUGGGUCUCAUAGAAUGUAAUGCAUCAUAGCUGGUAUAACAAGUUAUAUGAACCAGUCUUAGAUCGAGAUACUUAACACACAGUGUAGUUGGUAUAGCAAACUAUAUGAACCAAAGACACUUUUUGACGUGUGUUAAAGGUUUAUCAAUCACAAUGCACCCCAUAAUCCUUGUUGUUAUCGCUGUGUUGCACUUGCUAGGCCAUGCGCGUGCCCGGUAUUCAUGAGUGCUCUAGAGAUCAUGCCAAAAUCUCAUGCAAGCGGUCCCACUUGACACUCAUAUAGGUGAUUUCAUCAAGUGUAUGUUGCAAAUCAUACACCACCCAUAAGGGAUAUGAAAAUCAUUAAAAACUUUUUUUAAGCUAAAAUUCUAUCUCCACAUAGAAUUUUAAUGACAAAGUUUAACCUUUCAUAAUGCACUCUCUAACACUUUCACACACACCAUAGGAAGGGACAUAAUUGAUUAAAAUCAAUUUAGUGCUAUCAGAACUAACAAGUGACUUGUUUUUACCCAUAUGAACCUUAUUCAUGGGAUCUCCAAUCACAAAGGUUGGGUUACCAUCACUUGUUUGUUUACAAGUGACUUAAGUCUCAUUCCUCUCGAUGUUUCUAAGAUCAUAUUUCUUCCCAAGGGUUUAGUCAGAGGAUCUGCUAGAUUCCGUUAUGAUUUCACAUAGUCAAUGGAGAUAGUUCCACUCUUUAGCAGCUGCUUCACCAAAUCGUGUUUCAAUUGUAUAUGUCUAUUCUUUCCAUUGUAAUUCUUGUUUUUAGCUAUAGCUAUUGCCAAUUGGCAAUCAUAGUGUAUUGACACCGAUGGGGUUGGUUUCAUUCCUAGUGGAAUGUUUGCUAAGAAGUUUUUCAACCACUCAGCCUCACUACCAGCCAUUUCAAGAGCGACAAUCUCAGAUUCCAUUGUUGAUCUUAUAAUAAUUGUUUGUCUGGCUGAUCUCCAUGUAAUCGCACCACCCCCCAAGUGUUAAUACAUAACCACUAGUGGAUUUUGUCUCAUCUGAAUCAGAGAUCAAGUUAGCAUCGCUAUACCCUUCUAGGACAGUGGGAAAUCCACUAUAUUCAAUGACAUAAUCCAUUGAACCUCUUAAGUAUCUCAUCAUCCUAGCAAGUGCAUCCUAAUGUUCCUGACUUGGAUAUUGAGUGUACCUACUCAAUCUAACUACUGCAUAAGCAAUAUGAAGUCUAGAAAAGUUCAUUCAUUAAGUGCAGUAAGCUCCCAAUUAUCUGGGCAUACUGAGGCUGAGAUAAUGAUUCUCCUCUAUUUUUUUUAUUAAUUUAGAGUUACCAUCAAAGGGGUACUCAUAGGUUUAAAAUCAUAAUACUCAAACUUCUUAAGAAGUUUCUCAAUGUAUUGUUCUUGGGAUAGUAAAAUAUUAUCUCCCUUUCUUAUGAUUCUAACACCUAAAAUCACAUUGACUUCAUCUAUAAACAACUUAUAUUUAAGAUUCUAGAAACCUUAGUUUUAUAGACUAUCUUAUUGCAUAUAUCAAUAAUUAAAUGUCAUUCACACAUAAAUAUAUAAUGACAUAUUCUAUGUUUUUCAGAUUUAGAGUACUAUUAAUAUCAUUAGAUGAAAAGUCAAAUUUAUUUCUUUGAGUAAUUAAGUAAAAUUACCUACACUCAUCCUGUUUUUAAAUCAAAACUGCCACUAUAUUAUUAAAAAAAAAUGCACCAAUGUUAAAUAAAAAUAAUAUAUGCCAAAAGCAUUAAACCACACGUUAGCUUUCCAUCCAAUACCAUGUGCUAAUAUUUGAAAAAUAAUUUCUACAAACUUAACUUUAUAACAAAUCAUAAAAUACCUUGCACUGAAUUCCAUGCCUAAGUAUUAUAGCAACAUAUUGUAUGCCAUGCACCAUAGCAAUCCAUUAUAUGUCGUGCAUUGAACCCAUCACGGUCCCAUAAUAUUGAAUCCAAAUUUUUAUAUAUCAAAUCAUAGUAUAUAUGUACGAAGAUAUGUUCAUAGUACCAAAAAUUGUUUAUCCAAACUAAACAAAACCAAUAUGUUGAAGGCAAAGCUAACAUCGUUUAACAGAAAAAAUAAUCGAGAUGAUCAUUAAAAUAAUUAUGCAUCAAAUUAUAACCAAAACAACAAUUCUAACAAUACUAUCAGUAAUUAUUUUCUCAACACACUUCAUACAUAAAGUCACGACUAUAUACUCUUUUUAUAUUUAAAAAAACUUUCAUAUUUCUUCCCGUGUCAAAUACUUAAGGCGUGUAAUAAAUAGAAAAAUAGUAGUAAAUAAAUUCUAGAGGCUUAACAUGUAUCAGCGCUCGAAAUUUUUUUUUUCAUUUGUUUAAUACAAAACAGGGAACUAAUAUAUUUGAUUCAGCAUCAAUUAAAAAAAACUUUUUUCCUUUUUAAAACAAUAUUCUAAUAAUUUAAUCCAUGUAAAUAAUUAUCACAUAAAACAAAAGAAGAACGAUAGUAACACUGCAUACACUAAACAGAGAUAUGGGAGCAAUUUGAGUAAAGUCACUAGUUUAUGCAAAACAAGAUUCAACCCAUGAAGAAAUUUUCACGGCAAUUACAAGCUGACAAAAUCAAGGCUUUUGUAGCCUCCGCAAACCUAUUGCAGCCAACUCAGCCCUAAUAUCAAGGAUUACAAAUUCAAAAUUUGCAAAACCCAAAAAACACAACUGCAAGCACCAUCAAAAACCCCUCAUAGACUACACACACCAACUCAAAUGACACGUGAAGCUAGUUUUAUACUAGUAGCAUAGCAGACACCACAUUGGAUAACAAUUCAACCAAUUACAAAAGAGUAAUAAUACCAUGACACACUUUUACAUUCAUUUGACACAGCAUACAAGGGUAAAAUGGUCCAAAAAGUACAAAGUUUUGUAGUUUUUCAAGAAAAAAGAGAUUAAAAAGUAAGUAAGGGUAGUGUCAAAUGAAUGUAAAAAAUUUAAGUGUGUCAAAGUUUUAUUUCUCAUUACAAAAUCUUAGAAGUACAAAGUCUGUCAGAGUUUUAAAAUCAAACACCUUUCAUGCAUAACCUAAAUAUCACAGCCAAACUUUUUUGUUUCAAACAUAAGGUAAUAAUUAAACACCCCAGCAUCCUUAUUGGUUAGCAUUAUCCAAAUUAUAAUCAACCCAAAUAUGAUAGAAACUGCAGAUAAACACAUACAGUAGUUCAUGAAGGAAGGACACUCCAUAUUUUAUCUUUUUUAAAUACAACAAUGUCAUUAGACUUUCUGCCAAUUUUUAGAAAUAAAAAUAACACGAAUUAAUAUAUUAUUAUUCAUUCUAUUGAACCCAAAGAAGUGCAGAAUUGAGUGUUGACUCAGAAUGCUACUUUCCUUUGUAAAGCAUUUAUUUGGAGGACCUAAAAUGCAAUAUUCAAUAAAAUCAUGAAAUCCUGUUGGUAAGAGAGAGAAAACCUGCAUUUUUGCAGUAGCACUCCAAGCUGUUUCGCCAUGAUGCACCACAACAAUUUCGGGGACAAUGAAGCUGCAUGGUUCUAUAAAAUCUGCAACCUUCCAACGUUCCAGCCAAACGAGAUCACAUCAUCAGUCAUGCGGAAGCCUCGUCGGAGACGCAACCCACCUUGAAUGUUGAAAUAUUACCCUUGAACAAUGUUUCUUUUGCAAUAAUAUAACAUUAUUACAACACAAUAUACUAGAUAUAAGUUCUUAAAAAUAGUGUUUAGUCAACAUAUAUUAAUAUCAUUAGUCAUGUUUUACUAAAAAAUAAGGAAUAAAAAAGAAAUCAUCCAACUCUGUAGUAAUUAAGUAAGGUGAUUGUUUUGGGUAUGAGGUUGAGGUUUCUUAUUCAAAGCAUUUUAAGUUGUCCUGAAGACUGGAUGGACUCCCUAGUGGUCCUCCAUCGUUCAAGUUACGUUGUUCGCUUUCCUUCUUUCUUGUCAAAGUUGUGUGGAUUGGUAUCUGUCAAAGAUACUCUAACGCUCAAGUCAGUAAUAUAACUGAUUGGUUAGCACAACAAGUGAUGCAUAUAAUGUGCAUAAUGAUCCUAGAGUCUUACCUGAGACCUUUAUUUAUAAUAGUUGUGAUGUAUUUACCUUUCGUUGACCUAAUGACGGCCCAAUCACACCUGAAUUUGCAUUAGGAGCUUAAUGAGUCAUUACCAUUGAUAAUCUGACCAUACUGUUAGGUCAUACCAGGCACGGCCUAGGCCUGAGUGGACGACCCGGGUAGACGGCCUGGAAGGAUGGCUUCGGUGGACGGUUUGGGUGUUCGGCUUGGGUGGUCGGCCUGGGAGGACGACUUGGGAGGAUGGCCUGAGUGGACAACUUGGAAGGAAGGUGUUAGGAUAUACUUUAGGAUAUAUGAUGAUAGGAUANAGGGGUUGAGGAGUAAGCGUGUGGGGAGUGUCGGUUAAAAAGGGGAGGGGAAGUGGGUCAAAGCCUCUAUAAAUAGAGGUAGUGUAAUGCGGUANGGGAUAUCGAGUAUUUUUGUGUAAAGUCAGNCAAUUAGCUUGUAGAGAGGGGUUAUGCCCUCAAUAGGGAGGUUAUGCUCCCAAUCCCAUUCUUGUAAAAAGAAGAUUCUUUCACAGUGAAUAAUAGUCAAAACUCAUUCUUUCUUUACGGUUUCUAUCUUUUGAGUGAGUCCUGUUAGGUUCCAAAACCCAGGAACCUAACAAUUGGUCCAACCUGCCGGAUCAAAGUGGGGUGAAGGAUCAAGAAGUUGCUAGAUCAUCAAGGGAGGACUUUCGAAUCUCCUUAGGAGAGGGCUGCCAGAUCAAGAAGGGAUCAAGAAGGGAUCAAGAAGUGAUCAAGAAAGGUGGAGCAUGGAAGGAAGAAACAAUACCUUGGAGAGGAGGACCAGCGGACAGAAAAUGAGCAUGGCAGAAUUGAAGAUGAGCAUGGNAGAAUCGAAAAUGAACAUGGCAGAAUAUAGAAGAAAUGUGCAAGAAAUAAGAGAAAUGCUGCAAGAAAUCAAGAUUCACAUAAAGGGCUUAGGAAGAAGUGAGGAAUCUAUCAUGAAAGGACAGAAAGAGGGUUCAGACGAAGAGGAGAUGGAGGAAGACAGGGGUGAACAGAAUUGGAGGCAGCAGGUAGAAUUGGCCAGGUUUGAGGGGCUGGAUCCAUUGGGAUGGAUCUCUCAUGCAGAGAAGUUUUUUGACACCUAAAACGUCAAAGAGAAGGAGAGGCUCAGGUUGGCUUACUACUGCAUGGAAGGGGGCACAAUCUAUUGGUUCAGGGCCUGGAAAAAUAAAACCAAGAACCUUUCUUGGAAAGGGCCGAAAGAGGCAUUAAUAAUGGGGUUUGGAGGAAGAGACAGAUGGUCUGUUUUUGAGAAGAAAAGAGAAACGGAAGCUGCUGCAGUUUUGAGUGUUGAUGUGUUUGCAAGAAUUAGAGGGCAGGAUAGGAGCGAAGAAAAUAUUUGUGGGGAGGAAGGCAAUGUUGCAAAUGGUAAUGGAGACAUGGGUGUGACUGUUGUUGGAAAAGUUGAAAAAGCUGUUGAUUUUACUGCUGCAAACUGUGAUGGAGACAUGGGUGUGACUGUUGUUGGAAAAGUUGAAAAAGCUGCUGAUUUUACUGCUGCAAACUGUGAUGNNNNNNNNNNNNNNNNNNNNNNNNNNNNNNNNNNNNNNNNNNNNNNNNNNNNNNNNNNNNNNNNNNNNNNNNNNNNNNNNNNNNNNNNNNNNNNNNNNNNNNNNNNNNNNNNNNNNNNNNNNNNNNNNNNNNNNNNNNNNNNNNNNNNNNNNNNNNNNNNNNNNNNNNNNNNNNNNNNNNNNNNNNNNNNNNNNNNNNNNNNNNNNNNNNNNNNNNNNNNNNNNNNNNNNNNNNNNNNNNNNNNNNNNNNNNNNNNNNNNNNNNNNNNNNNNNNNNNNNNNNNNNNNNNNNNNNNNNNNNNNNNNNNNNNNNNNNNNNNNNNNNNNNNNNNNNNNNNNNNNNNNNNNNNNNNNNNNNNNNNNNNNNNNNNNNNNNNNNNNNNNNNNNNNNNNNNNNNNNNNNNNNNNNNNNNNNNNNNNNNNNNNNNNNNNNNNNNNNNNNNNNNNNNNNNNNNNNNNNNNNNNNNNNNNNNNNNNNNNNNNNNNNNNNNNNNNNNNNNNNNNNNNNNNNNNNNNNNNNNNNNNNNNNNNNNNNNNNNNNNNNNNNNNNNNNNNNNNNNNNNNNNNNNNNNNNNNNNNNNNNNNNNNNNNNNNNNNNNNNNNNNNNNNNNNNNNNNNNNNNNNNNNNNNNNNNNNNNNNNNNNNNNNNNNNNNNNNNNNNNNNNNNNNNNNNNNNNNNNNNNNNNNNNNNNNNNNNNNNNNNNNNNNNNNNNNNNNNNNNNNNNNNNNNNNNNNNNNNNNNNNNNNNNNNNNNNNNNNNNNNNNNNNNNNNNNNNNNNNNNNNNNNNNNNNNNNNNNNNNNNNNNUCGGUUAAAAAGGGGAGGGGAAGUGGGUCAAAGCCUCUAUAAAUAGAGGUAGUGUAAUGCGGUAGGGGAUAUCGAGUAUUUUUGUGUAAAGUCAGACAAUUAGCUUGUAGAGAGGGGUUAUGCCCUCAAUAAGGAGGUUAUGCUCCCAAUCCCAUUCUUGUAAAAAGAAUAUUCUUUCACAGUGAAUAAUAGUCAAAACUCAUUCUUUCUUUACUGUUUCUAUCUUUUGAGUGAGUCCUGUUAGGUUCCAAACCCAAGAACCUAACAGAAGGCCUGGGUGGACAGCCGUGUGGAUAGCCUGGGUGCUCGGCUUGUGUGAUCGGCCUGGGAGGACAACCUGGGUGGACGGCCUGUGUGACACUCGGGCACUGACGAGGGCGGGGAGUGAUCGUCGGUGCAAGAGGCACGGACAAGGAGCGGCUCCUGGUAGGCUUCCAAUGGAAGGGGCACAUGGAAGAAUCGAACAUACACCGGAAUGAGAGGGAUCUAGAGACUAUAUAGGUAUGAGACUAUGCAAUUGAAUGAUAGCUUAAAGGAAUUGAUUUGGCUACUCAUAUCAACAAAUGCAUUUUCUUUUCGGUAGCCUAAUCCAUAAGAAUUCCAUGGUUAAGCGUGCUUAGCCUGGAGUAAUUUAAGGAUGGGUGACCUUCUGGGAAGUUUUCCCGGAGAGUGUGCGAGUGAGGACAAAACACAUUGGAAAGCCUCGUAUUGAUGUGCGAGUGACUAUUGGCAUGGGACUAUACAGUUGAAGGAUAGCUUAAAGGAAUUGAUUUGUCUACUCAUAUCAACGAUCUGGAUGGACAACCUGGGUGUUCGACCUGAUGACCGACAGAUCGCACGAUAUAGUAAUGGAGUAAGCAUAAUGAUAAUCAUAGCACACCUCAUGCUCAAAAGUCCACCUAACCCAAUUACAGGUUAUUUCUUUUCCUUUCUAAAUAUAAUUAUUUUAUGGUAUUGUUUCUCCAAUAACCUAAAAAAGAGCAAUCUAUAAAUAUCUUUCAUAAAACAAUAACUUAUAAAAAAAAUCAUUCAUGUAAUAAUCAUCUUCAUCUAGUGUGUUGCUAGAGCUAUCAAUUUGAUUUCUGGUUUGUGGGUUAACUCAUCCACUUCUAAAAUAAGUCCCUCUUUAUUGACUUGAAAAAUUAGUGGGCUGAAGAAUAUUCUAACCCCUAAAGUCGUCGUAUAAAGUGGAUUUGACUCACUACAACAUUAAAAGAAGAUUUUAGUUAACCCCUAAAUAUUAUUCAAAAUUGUGGAAUCCUUAAUAUAUUUUAAAUUGCAAGUUGACCUCUAAAUAUUUCACAUUAAUGUAAAUUAUCUUUAAUUAGUUUUUAUUAUUUGCAACUUGUUUGCAACAUUGGCCCCAACCUAACUUGAAAAGCUUAAACCUUGGACCCAACCAUACCAUGUCCAAUACAAUCAACUUGACCUUGACUUAACCUAACUUGAUCUCAACCCAAGCUUGACUUAGUAUAACUCAUCUUGACAACAAAUACAAUGUUUUAACUAUUUUGAUCUUGUAUAAAACAAUAAUCAUAAAGGUGUUGUUGUAGAAAACAAAUUUGUGUUGCGAAAAUAUUGUAAAAUAUGUUUUGAAAACAAUUUUGAUUGCUAAAUGAGUGAAUUUAAGAUGAUUAAACUAUGCUAGAGUUCGACUUCACUACUUUUCACUCUCUUGUAUCAAAUCUAUCAACAUAUAUGAAACUGCAAAUGAUCAAGUCAUGGGAGUUUACUUUAGGUGUAACUCUAGGUUCAUUCCUGGCACCUAGAGCCUAAGAUCACCACCCUUCAGUAUUAUUCUGAUACGAUGUCAUUGAAGCUAUCAAAUUACCACUUCUUAACCAAGGCAACUUUUGUACCGCCGAGUUAAUAGUUAAUAAACUAAAUAUGAUUAAGUUAACCCUGAGUUGUAUUUCAAUGAAUAAGAAAUUGCUUUUCAAUGAUUGAUUCUUAUGAAAUCAUAUGCAAAAGAUUAGUAAAACAAAAUGCAAAUACUAAAAAAAUUAAAAGUAAAAAUCUAUCCUAAUGGAAUUAAUAUUGAAGAUUGAUAUAAAUGUGAAUUUAAUGAAAUAACAAAUUAAUAAAAGACUUUAAAACAAAUAUAAUAAAAAGGACUAACUCUAAUAUUUUUCUAAAAUAGAUUCAUCAUUGGUUAUUCACAUAUUAUUGUUCAAUUGAUCAUUGUGUUUUUUUUCAAAUUAAUUAAAGUAAAUUCUUAAUUAAUUUCUUGGCGAUCUUACUAUUAACCAAAGUAGAUUCUCAAUUAAAAGCAAAACCAUUUUAGAUUAUUCAUAAUAAAUUCAACCAAAGUACGCUUAUAAUUAAAUUCUAUUAUGUUUAAUCAUGUAUAUUAUUUUAUCUCCUAACCAAAUAAAAAGUAAAUUAAUUAAAGUACAUUCUCAAUUAGUAGCAAAAACCUAUUCUAUCAUAUGGAAGUUCCUAACUUUAAUCAAAACAUAUUCUCAGUUAAAAUUAAAAGCCUUUAGACUUAUACAAUCAACAUGCAUAUAGAUCAAAACACCUCGUUAAUUAACUAUAGUGUAAAACCAUUACUUUUUUACGUGAUUCAGAAAUAAAAGAUAUAAAUAAAAGAUAAUCUAAAACAAUACAUUAUUUUAACCUACCCUCAGAAGCUAUAAUGAAAUUACAGUGGAACCAAUCUUAGAAACUUAGCCCUCCAUGGAUGGGGGUGGAAUAUAUAAUGAAUGAAAAUAAAAUUAAGAAAAGGGUGGAAAGGAGGUGAGAGAUGUAAUGGAUCAUAACUGUUUUAAGACAAAAUCGUCUAGAGAAUAGACCGACUAAGCAACAUAGGUUUUGAAGUCUAACACAAAGCAUUAAACAAAACAUUGUUGUAUGAAAAGUUGUUUAAAGUAAUAACGUCUAAUGAAGAAAUAUUCUAUAACGUCUAAAGCCAAGAAUAUAAAUAACGUUUUUCUAGACCAAAUUUAAAUGAAUCAGAAAAUCAUAGUGUCUAAAGGAAAGUAUCUUUCCUUAAUUAUUUAAUAAACUAUAAUUAUUUAAUAAACUAUAUGAGCAAAACUAGUCAACGUCUUAUGAAAACAGAAGUCUAUCUCUUGUAUAACACUAACGUCAAAAGAAAUCUUUACUCAAUAUAGUGUUAUAUCAAGCCAAGCCUUCUAAAAGAAAAAUCGUUUAAUGAAUCGCAGCUAAACGCUUUAGCCUUUGAAAAAGUAUCUUAUGUUUAUACAUGUUGUAUGUCUUACCAAUCAAUGCAUUUGUUAACGAAAUGACAAAUGAUAAAAUGUUUUGAACAUGCUACAUUAUCUAACCUUUAUCAACGUUCAAAACAUUUAAUGCAUGUAUGAAAAGGUACUUAGAUGCUUGUAUACUUGGUUUUUUUAUAUUCAUGCAGAUCAGUAAAGCAGACAAAUGUGACCAGAAUCACUACACCUGAGAAAAAGAUGUACUGAGAGAAGAAGAACAUUCUAGGAAUGAUUCCCUUGAAGCCAUGUGUUCUAUCACAUCGUACAAGUUUAAGUUUCACUUAAGUCUAUGAGAAAAAGCUUUGAACCCUACAAAGUAGAAUAAAGUUUGACUUCACAUCUAAAGGCUACCAACUUUCCAAAAGUCAACUUCUUUGUCUAACAAACAUCUUUUAACAGAAGCUAUAUAUAAAAGAAAUCUUGAAGAGAAGAAGACGAUGUUAGUGCAAGAGAGAUAACAUAAGAAGAAUUCAAAUGUGAAAAGAGAAUAGAAAGAAAAGCUUGUCGUGUUCAUAUAUCACCUUUUGAGAGAAAAAUCUUAGCAAAAUACAUAACAUCUCAUACUAUUUAUAUCCUCUCCUUGAGAGCUAUCAUUUGUACUUUUAUCCUUAACAUUAUUUGUGUUGUAAAUUCUAAAAAGAAUUAAAACAAUUGUCUAGAAGUGUUGUCUACAGUUAGAUCUAAAAGUGGCUAAACUCGGUCUAGUCAUGUUAACUAGGAAACCAUAAGUGGUUAGAAUACUUGUUGUAAAUUAUGACUAAUGAUAUCCUAGAGAGGCAAAACUCGAGUAAUCUUGGAAAAUAUUAGUGAAAACAAAGAAUGAUUACAUUCUUUGACUUGAAGUACCUAAAAAACACUUGAAUGGGAAGGGAGGAGGGUGGGUUGAAUAGUAUUAAUGAAAAAAAAAAAUUCACAACCCUUCUAAUAUAGCAUAUUUGUCGAGUUUUGGAUUUAUCGAAUAAGUGCUUAGACGCUCAACUUAAUAAAUGAUUGUAAAAGAUGGUUGCUCUUAACGUGCUAUUUAGAGUGUAGACUCUAGUGUUUGUAAGAACUUCCUUACUUGAAUAAUAAAUAUUAAUGUGGAAGGUUCUUGUAUGUAGGAAUAAAAACACAACUGUAGGUUUUAUAUGAGACACGUUUAGGCAAGAGAGAAAUAACAAUUGCACAAAUAUUUUAAUAUUGGUUCACUUUAACUAAGUUACGUCUAGUCUCCUUUGUAGAGGAUUCUACUAUAAUCUUCAACAAGAUUACAAUUGAUUAUUCGUACCACUCCUGGUCUUUUCAUUCAGUGAAUAACCUCUCAUGCUACCCUAGACUAGAUGGGUAUUCUCACCACUUCUGGUCUUCUCAAUCAGCAAAUAACAUCAUGUUACCCUAGAGUAGAUGUGUAUCGCACCACUCCUAGUAUUAAACAACUUUGCCUAGAUCUCCUUAACUCAACCAAGUUUAACAAGUGUUUUAAUUCUUUUCAGAAUUACAAUCA
This 30191-nucleotide long non-coding RNA is filed under the name Vigna radiata. RNAcentral describes it as "long non-coding RNA (VRAD_LNC003393)". Lineage: Eukaryota; Viridiplantae; Streptophyta; Magnoliopsida; Fabales; Fabaceae. The record is from RNAcentral.